Molecule: ribosomal RNA, 452 nt
Filed under: uncultured bacterium
Lineage: Bacteria
Description: bacterial SSU rRNA
Rfam family: Bacterial small subunit ribosomal RNA
Source: RNAcentral
UACGGGAGGCAGCAGUGGGGAAUAUUGCACAAUGGGCGCAAGCCUGAUGCAGCCAUGCCGCGUGUAUGAAGAAGGCCUUCGGGUUGUAAAGUACUUUCAGCGGGGAGGAAGGCGAUGCGGUUAAUAACCGCGUCGAUUGACGUUACCCGCAGAAGAAGCACCGGCUAACUCCGUGCCAGCAGCCGCGGUAAUACGGAGGGUGCAAGCGUUAAUCGGAAUUACUGGGCGUAAAGCGCACGCAGGCGGUCUGUUAAGUCAGAUGUGAAAUCCCCGGGCUUAACCUGGGAACUGCAUUUUGAAACUGGCAGGCUUGAGUCUUGUAGAGGGGGUAGAAUUCCAGGUGUAGCGGUGAAAUGCGUAGAGAUCUGGAGGAAUACCGGUGGCGAAGGCGGCCCCUGGACAAGACUGACGCUCAGGUGCGAAAGCGUGGGGAGCAAACAGGAUUAGAUACC